RNAcentral lists this ribosomal RNA (492 nucleotides) under uncultured bacterium. RNAcentral describes it as "partial 16S ribosomal RNA". It matches the Rfam family "Bacterial small subunit ribosomal RNA", at positions 29 to 507 of the family's 1533-position model. The record is from RNAcentral.
AGUGAACGCUGGCGGUAGGCCUAACACAUGCCAGUCGAACGGCAGCACAGUAAGAGCUUGCUCUUACGGGUGGCGAGUGGCGGACGGGUGAGGAAUACAUCGGAAUCUACUUUUUCGUGGGGGAUAACGUAGGGAAACUUACGCUAAUACCGCAUACGACCUACGGGUGAAAGCAGUGGAUCUUCGGACCUUGCGCGAUUGAAUGAGCCGAUGUCGGAUUAGCUAGUUGGCGAGGUAAAGGCCCACCAAGGCGACGAUCCGUAGCUGGUCUGAGAGGAUGAUCAGCCACACUGGAACUGAGACACGGUCCAGACUCCUACGGGAGGCAGCAGUGGGGAAUAUUGGACAAUGGGCGCAAGCCUGAUCCAGCCAUACCGCGUGGGUGAAGAAGGCCUUCGGGUUGUAAAGCCCUUUUGUUGGGAAAGAAAAGCAGCAGGUUAAUACCCCGCUGUUCUGACGGUACCCAAAGAAUAAGCACCGGCUAACUUCGUG